RNAcentral lists this ribosomal RNA (449 nucleotides) under uncultured bacterium. Its description in RNAcentral is "partial 16S ribosomal RNA". It matches the Rfam family "Bacterial small subunit ribosomal RNA", at positions 29 to 523 of the family's 1533-position model. The record is from RNAcentral.
AGCGAACGCUGGCGGCAGGCCUAACACGUGCAAGUCGAACGGAUCCUUCGGGAUUAGUGGCGGACGGGUGAGUAACACGUGGGAACGUGCCCUUUGGUUCGGAACAACUCAGGGAAACUUGAGCUAAUACCGGAUGUGCCCUUCGGGGGAGAGAUUUAUCGCCAUUGGAGCGGCCCGCGUCUGAUUAGCUAGUUGGUGAGGUAAAGGCUCACCAAGGCGACGAUCAGUAGCUGGUCUGAGAGGAUGAUCAGCCACGUUGGGACUGAGACACGGCCCAAACUCCUACGGGAGGCAGCAGUGGGGAAUCUUGCGCAAUGGGCGAAAGCCUGACGCAGCCAUGCCGCGUGAAUGAUGAAGGUCUUAGGAUUGUAAAAUUCUUUCACCGGGGACGAUAAUGACGGUACCCGGAGAAGAAGCCCCGGCUAACUUCGUGCCAGCAGCCGCAGAAA